AGAAUCAACGCUGGCGGCGUGCCUAACACAUGCAAGUCGCACGAGAAAGGGGAGCAAUCCCUGAGUAAAGUGGCGCACGGGUGAGUAACACGUGAAUAAUCUACCUCCGAGUGGGGAAUAACUGAGAGAAAUCUUAGCUAAUACCGCAUAACACUUACGAGUCAAAGCAGCAAUGCGCUUGGAGAGGAGUUCGCGGCCGAUUAGUUAGUUGGCGGGGUAAUGGCCCACCAAGACGAUGAUCGGUAUCCGGCCUGAGAGGGCGCACGGACACACUGGAACUGAAACACGGUCCAGACUCCUACGGGAGGCAGCAGUGGGGAAUUUUGCGCAAUGGGGGAAACCCUGACGCAGCAACGCCGCGUGGAGGAUGAAGCCCCUUGGGGUGUAAACUCCUUUCGAUCGGGAAGAUAAUGACGGUACCGAUAUAAGAAGCCCCGGCUAACUUCGCGCCAGCAGCCGC
Molecule: ribosomal RNA, 460 nt
Filed under: uncultured bacterium
Lineage: Bacteria
Description: SSU rRNA
Rfam family: Bacterial small subunit ribosomal RNA
Source: RNAcentral